Long non-coding RNA from Rhinichthys klamathensis goyatoka, 265 nucleotides. RefSeq lists it as uncharacterized. The record is from RefSeq and is a predicted model, not a curated record. NCBI's taxonomy places the organism in Eukaryota, Metazoa, Chordata, Actinopteri, Cypriniformes, Leuciscidae. The transcript has 2 exons.
CAAAAGCUGAAUCCAGGACAUUUUGUACGAUCUCGACGGCCAGACAUGUCCAGGAAAAAGAGGAUGUUACUCAGCUUUCUCCACAGAACAAGAGCCUGCUAGCUUAGCUUCCAAAAAAAGAUGGCUGACACUGUGUACAUUUUGUGAGUGAGAUCCCACCCUCUAUGGGCGGGUUGAGAACAUGCGGGACAGCCUCUACUACUGGCUGUAGUCUUUAGCCUCUGGCCAAAAAAUCCUCCGAUGACGCAAAAUGAGAUUUUUCGGA